GAUGAAGAACGUAGUGAAAUGCGAUACGUAAUGUGAAUUGCAGAAUUCAGUGAAUCAUCGAGUCUUUGAACGCACAUUGCGCCCCCUGGUAUUCCGGGGGGCAUGCCUGUCCGAGCGUCAUUGCUGCCCUCAAGCACGGCUUGUGUGUUGGGCCUCCGCCCUCCUCCCGGGGGACGGGCCCGAAAGGCAGCGGCGGCACCGCGUCCGGUCCUCGAGCGUAUGGGGCUUCGUCACCCGCUCUUGUAGGCCCGGCCGGCGCUUGCCGACACAUCAAUCUUUUUUCCAGGUUGACCUCGGAUCAGGUAGGGAUACCCGCUGAACUUAAGCAUAUCAAUAAGCGGAGGA
RNAcentral lists this unclassified non-coding RNA (345 nucleotides) under soil metagenome. RNAcentral's name for it is "partial contains 5.8S ribosomal RNA, internal transcribed spacer 2, and large subunit ribosomal RNA". The stretch from base 1 to 120 matches the Rfam family "5.8S ribosomal RNA", at positions 35 to 154 of the family's 154-position model. The record is from RNAcentral.